Molecule: long non-coding RNA, 1494 nt
Filed under: Pan troglodytes (chimpanzee)
Lineage: Eukaryota; Metazoa; Chordata; Mammalia; Primates; Hominidae
Description: long non-coding RNA NONPTRT012841
Source: RNAcentral
GCAGAAACAUUGAAAUCACAGCUCUUGGCAGAUUUCCUGUCACUUGCCAGUUAUCCAUGUACCUGGGUGCUCAGUGACAUGAUGAUGUGUUGCAGGCCGACUGGCGUGGACCACAUGGCUUCCCCACUGGUUCAAACGUCACGGAGCAGGUUCCCCCCGAUAGGCACGGAGACCAGGGAGCAGAAUACAGCAGUUCCUGGAUGCCGCCUUGUUUCUUACAGAGGAAGGCAUCUACAAACCCGUGUGUCGAGUGCCAUGCCUGACGGUACAGAACGAUCGCGUCUUCGAGAAAGAACAGCCACCCUGGAACAGUUGUCAAGGCCCAGCACAACCCACACGUUCCGGUCGGAUACGCCUCGAAAAAGUUCAUUGACACAAAUGGAAUUUGCUGCUCACACAUGGACAGGUCAAAGUAUUUUGACAGAGGACAACUUUGACUUUCAAGAAGAGAUUCCAAGUGACAUCUUGAAACCACCUCACCAGAACCAUUGGAGCACUCGUGGCCUCAGCACACUGCUUAUCACUUGAAAAAUGGAGGAACAAGUGUUAUAUUUAUCUGUGUGUCUGACAGUGUGAGAUGUUAGACCGAGAGAAAAGCAAACAAAUAAAUCACUUAAUCUUGAACACUUUGCACUGUAAAGAGAGUGAAAGUCAAACCCACCAAGCUGCCUUGCUGAAAGCAUCUCCAAGGUUCUGUAGGCUUUGUUCAGAAGACCCUGAUGUGUGUUUGCAGUCCGUCAUUUUAUCAAUGAUACACAAACAUAAUUAGCAUGUGUAUGUACUCACACACUAAUUACAUGUAAGAAUAUAUUAUCUAGGAAUAUGUCAUUUGUAACUUUGUACUCUGACGUAUUUUCUAGUCUCACCCUAUUAGUAAUUCUGUCAAAAUCCUAGACACUAGUAGAUAUUAGUAUUUGAGACAAUAUGUCAGAGUCUGAAUAAGACUCAGCUUGUUCUAGUCACGCUGAGUUUCUCAUACAUUUUUUAAAAGUGCUUCCGCCAUGAACCUCUUUGAGAAAUGUCAGUGGCAAAAUCUCCCAAGCUAAUUUUCUUUUUCUAUGUUCCAUCUUCAAAUUCAGACAGUUCACGUGAAGUACCCCACAUUUAUUGAUCUUAGGGUUGAAUAUAAACGUAAUUAAAAGCUAUGGCAGGUGAUGUCAUCUUUAUUGUUUACAGUUGAAGCUCCUCCAUGGUAGGGGAGCCUCCCACCCUCCACGUGCCAUCGGGAGCUGGCCUUUGCCCAGACGCCACCACUGCAAUGACACCUUCCCAGAGCCCUCAUCUCCUUGCGCUCUGUCCUGCUCGGCCUGGCUUUUCUUCAGAGUGUGUUUCCCCAUCUGACAUUACUGUAGAAAAUGGAGCAGAGAACAGGAAGGGGAAUUAGCAGAGGUGAGGCUCCAGGCAUGUCUUCCUCUUGUCCCUCUCCCCACUGUUUCUCUUGAUUGUGAUUCAAGUCCUUACACUCAUUUUUACAUUCUCAGAUCUCAAAUCAGC